Molecule: ribosomal RNA, 374 nt
Filed under: uncultured organism
Description: partial 16S ribosomal RNA
Rfam family: Bacterial small subunit ribosomal RNA
Source: RNAcentral
GUAGGUGGCAAGCGUUGUCCGGAAUUAUUGGGCGUAAAGCGCGCGCAGGCGGGUCCUUUAAGUCUGAUGUGAAAGCCCACGGGCUCAACCGUGGAGGGUCAUUGGAGACUGGGGGACUUGAGUACAGAAGAGGAAAGCGGAAUUCCAAGUGUAGCGGUGAAAUGCGUAGAGAUUUGGAGGAACACCAGUGGCGAAGGCGGCUUUCUGGUCUGUAACUGACGCUGAGGCGCGAAAGCGUGGGGAGCAAACAGGAUUAGAUACCCUGGUAGUCCACGCCGUAAACGAUGAGUGCUAAGUGUUAGGGGGUUUCCGCCCCUUAGUGCUGCAGCUAACGCAUUAAGCACUCCGCCUGGGGAGUACGGCCGCAAAGGCUG